Molecule: non-coding RNA, 250 nt
Filed under: Aspergillus carbonarius ITEM 5010
Lineage: Eukaryota; Fungi; Ascomycota; Eurotiomycetes; Eurotiales; Aspergillaceae
Description: Bacterial small subunit ribosomal RNA
Rfam family: Bacterial small subunit ribosomal RNA
Source: Rfam by way of RNAcentral
AAACUGAAGAGUUUGAUCCUGGCUCAGAUUGAACGCUGGCGGUAUGCUUAACACAUGCAAGUCGAACGGAAACGAUACUAGCUUGCUAGUAGGCGUCGAGUGGCGGACGGGUGAGUAACGCGUAGGAAUCUGCCUGAUAGUGGGGGAUAGCCCGAAGAAAUUCGGAUUAAUACCGCAUAAUCUAUUCGUAGUAAAGUGGGGGACUUUCGAGCCUCACGCUAUCAGAUGAGCCUGCGUAAGAUUAGCUUGU